GGUUUGGGGAAUGGUCAAGUUUAGAUUGUCCAUAUCAGGGAAGUUCUCUGAAGUUCACUAAUAUUGACAAGUCCAACUCUUCCAUAAUUAAUGACAAUGAGCUCAUUGCAUACUUCAUGAAGUAUUUCUAGGUGCACAAAGGGGCAUAAAAAUAGCAAUAUAUAUACAAUACAGCUGAAAUAUAAGAUUAUCAAUGUUUUAUCCAUAUCGG
RNAcentral lists this long non-coding RNA (211 nucleotides) under Mytilus galloprovincialis (Mediterranean mussel). Lineage: Eukaryota; Metazoa; Mollusca; Bivalvia; Mytilida; Mytilidae. The record is from RNAcentral.